RNAcentral lists this ribosomal RNA (497 nucleotides) under uncultured bacterium. RNAcentral describes it as "partial 16S ribosomal RNA". It matches the Rfam family "Bacterial small subunit ribosomal RNA", at positions 28 to 507 of the family's 1533-position model. The record is from RNAcentral.
GAUGAACGCUGGCGGCGUGCCUAAUACAUGCAAGUCGAGCGAACAGACGAGGAGCUUGCUCCUCUGACGUUAGCGGCGGACGGGUGAGUAACACGUGGAUAACCUACCUAUAAGACUGGGAUAACUUCGGGAAACCGGAGCUAAUACCGGAUAAUAUAUUGAACCGCAUGGUUCAAUAGUUAAAGACGGUUUUGCUGUCACUUAUAGAUUGAUCCGCGCCGCAUUAGCUAGUUGGUAAGGUAACGGCUUACCAAGGCAACGAUGCGUAGCCGACCUGAGAGGGUGAUCGGCCACACUGGAACUGAGACACGGUCCAGACUCCUACGGGAGGCAGCAGUAGGGAAUCUUCCGCAAAGGGCGAAAGCCUGACGGAGCAACGCCGCGUGAGUGAUGAAGGUCUUCGGAUCGUAAAACGCUGUUAUUAGGGAAGAACAAAUGUGUAAGUAACUAUGCACGUCUUGACGGUACCUAAUCAGAAAGCCACGGCUAACUACGUG